GAGGGAAUAUUGCGCAAUGGGGGAAACCCUGACGCAGCGAUGCCGCGUGAGUGAAGAAGGCCUUAGGGUUGUAAAACUCUUUCACCGGUGAAGAUAAUGACGGUAACCGGGGAAGAAGCUCCGGCUAACUCCGUGCCAGCAGCCGCGGUAAUACGGAGGGGGCUAACGUUGUUCGGAAUUACUGGGCGUAAAGCGCGCGUAGGCGGAUUCGAUAGUUGAGGGUGAAAUCCCGGAGCUUAACUCCGGAACUGCCUUCAAAACUUCGGGUCUCGAGUUCGGAAGAGGUGAGUGGAAUUCCUAGUGUAGAGGUGAAAUUCGUAGAUAUUAGGAAGAACAUCAGAGGCGAAGGCGGCUCACUGGUCCGAUACUGACGCUGAGGUGCGAAAGCGUGGGGAGCAAACAGG
This 404-nucleotide ribosomal RNA is filed under the name uncultured bacterium. RNAcentral's name for it is "bacterial SSU rRNA". It matches the Rfam family "Bacterial small subunit ribosomal RNA", at positions 355 to 776 of the family's 1533-position model. The record is from RNAcentral.